Molecule: ribosomal RNA, 492 nt
Filed under: uncultured bacterium
Lineage: Bacteria
Description: partial 16S ribosomal RNA
Rfam family: Bacterial small subunit ribosomal RNA
Source: RNAcentral
AGUGAACGCUGGCGGUAGGCCUAACACAUGCAAGUCGAACGGCAGCACAGUAAGAGCUUGCUCUUACGGGUGGCGAGUGGCGGACGGGUGAGGAAUACAUCGGAAUCUACUUUUUCGUGGGGGAUAACGUAGGGAAACUUACGCUAAUACCGCAUACGACCUACGGGUGAAAGCAGGGGAUCUUCGGACCUUGCGCGAUUGAAUGAGCCGAUGUCGGAUUAGCUAGUUGGCGGGGUAAAGGCCCACCAAGGCGACGAUCCGUAGCUGGUCUGGGAGGAUGAUCAGCCACACUGGAACUGAGACACGGUCAAGACUCCUACGGGAGGCAGCAGUGGGCAAUAUUGGACAAUGGGCGCAAGCCUGAUCCAGCCAUACCGCGUGUGAGAAGAAGGCCUUCGGGUUGUAAAGCCCUUUUGUUGGGAAAGAAAAGCAGCAGGUUAAUACCCCGCUGUUCUGACGGUACCCAAAGAAUAAGCACCGGCUAACUUCGUG